AACGCAUCAUCCAGAAUUUAAAAGUACUUACAAGCUCGUAUAACCUCAUGGGUUAGCUGGAAAUAAAACAAUUGUUUAGCAGCGGAAAAACGGAAGAUACAAGGGCUACAUCAACAUCAUGGUGAGAGCGUGUUGGAAUAUAGGCCCGUAACCCAAACAAGCAAAGCGUACUCUUACUCUUCGUUGGAGCUUCCUGCAUCAUUAAAGGAUGCAACCACUAGGGUCAAUACAUUGAAUGUAUUGGUAAGAUCACUAGGGGUUAUAUCAAAAUUUACCAAGUAUAUGCAUAAUGUGGCAAAGUGGGGUUCAAGGCUAUUUGCAUAAAAGCUUAGUUGUAUUGUCCUAUCUUUUAAUCAAAUAGAAUUUUAUCACUAUUGGACAUAGGGUAGACAUACCCAUGCUCUUAUUAAACUAAGGACAUUGAGUAGACACAUCAAUGCUCCUAAACCCAAGUUCAAACCAUUCCUUUUAUUUGAAAAUUAGAAUGAGUGAGAUUUUCCUUACAGCUCCACAUCCAGUUGCUCAAAAUUUGUCCAUUACCGAGGACACGGCUAAGUACUUAGUUUUGACGCUCUCGAGAGUUUGUACACAUUCCCCACAAGAAACCGACAGGUUAAUCUCUUGCUGUCCUCGGGGUAGAGUAGCAACGGCGUCGAUUACGAGAUUUUCAGAGGUAAUUCCCUAAACCACGAGAGAAUCAUGCCCCCCUACACAUUCUACCUCAGUACAAUUCCUUGGGUCUAGGUUCAUACAACUUACUCUUGUCUCGCCAGAGCUCAUAUAGCAUUGUGGUUGUACUGGAAGCUACUAAAUAGGAAACUAGUCCAGUCUCAGUUACCUCAGGCGGCAUUCCACAGUUGCAAUGUAGGCGCUCCCCGAAUCCACGGGAGAUACGUCCAUGGACGAUCCCUUUCCGAAUCCACGGAAAGUCGACUCAGAGGGACCCAUAGAAAUGGACCUGACGCCGCUAAUCCUCAAAAUUCUCAAAGCCGCCCACCCAGGAUGGUUCAUUGAAUUAAUUGUUUUGCCUUACUCUUGUAAAACAUUUCUUUUCUCCAUAGGCAUAAUAAUAUCAUAAUGUAUUAAUAUCCCCCACGAUACUAUCAUAGCCUAGCAUUCAACUACAAUCGAUGGCAAUUUGGUAGCAGGGUAAUGACAAGGGUAAACUAUACUACCUGGGAUUUAUAGCUAGCAUAGAGGUACGAGUAAUAUUCCUAAUGCAUCUAAUAAAACAACUAGUGCAUAGUAAAAAUAUUUGGGAGAUGAUCAAAGUGAACUUGCCUUGUCCAAGGUUGUGGUAGUUCUCGCACUCUUCGCAACAACAAGGUUCACAAUCCACACAAUCUAAAAUAAAAGAAAGCACACACACAAUAAACAUGCCAUUCAAUACAAAACAUGCUAUGAUGCAUAUGUCAUGACGAUGCACACAUAGGUUGCUUCUAAAUGUGACAUGUUUAGUUUUCUGUUUUGAAAAGCUUCACAAAAGAUUUGGACAGAUUAUACAAUAACAAAGAGGUACUUAUUUUGUAUGAAACAAGGAUGGGCUUUAAUUAAAAGCUUAUAUGAUUUUUGUAAAGCAUGGAGCAAGAUAAAUUUGUGUGGCCAUAUCAUUUACAAAAUAAUUUCCUUUCUGGUCCUAAUGGACAGAGAACAUACUCAAAUUAUUUUUCAGCAAGCUAACAUGCUCAAAACUAGUUUGAAAUAAUUCAUUUGAAUAUUAAACCAUAAUUAAGCAUUCUGUAAUUUGUUUCUGGUAAAGUUAUUCAAAGUUAAAAUUAUAUUAUGCCAAAAGAUUAUGCAGGUUAUGAGGAUUCCAUAAAGGUAUAGAACUUCAAAUUUGGCCAAACGGUUUGAGAGAUAUGAUGGUUUGAAGUUUCAGGGGCUUUUUUGCAAAGUUACUUUUUAAUUCGGCCGAGAAAUAAAUUUUAAUUUUAUACGGGACACGUGGAGCUAUCCUAUAGGCUGGUACCGGUUCGGUUAGGGUUUUAAUCUCAGCCGUUCAUGGAGAUCCGACGGCAGAGAGGGGAGACGGCUCACCGGGCGGCGCUAGGGUUCGUCGAAGACGAGGAAGACUGCUGCGGCGACAGCACGGCGACUCGGGCGGCAGUUCGGCUCGGGGAAGUAGGGGAACGGGUGCGGCUCGGCGAAGCGGUCCCAGCGGGGGUCGCGGCUUUGCUCGGGGAGCUCGAACGCGACGUCAAGGACGACGAAGGGCGGCGGCCGGCGGCGACGGCCUCUGGUCUGCGGCGGUCCAAAACAGAAAACGACCGCGUCACACGGUGCGCGCGAGAGAGAGAGAGAGG
RNAcentral lists this long non-coding RNA (2303 nucleotides) under Brachypodium distachyon (stiff brome). RNAcentral's name for it is "long non-coding RNA (BDIS_LNC001974)". The record is from RNAcentral. Lineage: Eukaryota; Viridiplantae; Streptophyta; Magnoliopsida; Poales; Poaceae.